AGGAUGAACGCUGGCGGUCUGCUUAACACAUGCAAGUCGAACGGAGUACCUCGGUACUUAGUGGCGGACGGGUGAGUAACGCGUGAGAAUCUGCCCUUAGGUCGGGGACAACCAUUGGAAACGAUGGCUAAUACCGGAUAAGCCGAGAGGUAAAAGAUUAAUUGCCUAGGGAAGAGCUCGCGUCUGAUUAGCUAGUUGGUGAGGUAAAGGCUCACCAAGGCAUCGAUCAGUAGCUGGUCUGAGAGGAUGAUCAGCCACACUGGGAUUGAGAACGGCCCAGACUCCUACGGGGGGCAGCAGUGAGGAAUUUUCCGCAAUGGAGGCAACUCUGACGGAGCAACGCCGCGUGCAGGAGGAAGGUUUUCGGAUCGUAAACUGCUUUUCUCGGGGACGAGCAAGGACGGUACCCGAGGAGAAGCCCGGCUAACUACGUGCCAGCAGCCGC
RNAcentral lists this ribosomal RNA (445 nucleotides) under uncultured bacterium. RNAcentral's name for it is "SSU rRNA". It matches the Rfam family "Bacterial small subunit ribosomal RNA", at positions 26 to 518 of the family's 1533-position model. The record is from RNAcentral.